UAGCUGCUCCUUGAGCUCAGGGUUCUGGG
Molecule: non-coding RNA, 29 nt
Filed under: Homo sapiens (human)
Lineage: Eukaryota; Metazoa; Chordata; Mammalia; Primates; Hominidae
Source: RNAcentral